GUUGUAUGGUUAAGUGACUAAGCGUACAUGGUGGAUGCCUUGGCAGUCAGAGGCGAUGAAGGACGUACUAACCUGCGAUAAGCUGUGAGAAGUCGGUAAGAGACGCUAUUACUCACAGAUUUCCGAAUGGGGAAACCCACCCGAGAUAACUCGGGUAUCUGUUACUGAAUACAUAGGUAACAGAGGCGAACCGGGAGAACUGAAACAUCUAAGUACCCCGAGGAAAAGAAAUCAACCGAGAUUCCCUCAGUAGCGGCGAGCGAACGGGGAUUAGCCCUUAAGCAUCUUGGAAGUUAGUGGAACGGUCCUGGAAAGGCCGGCGAUACAGGGUGAUAGCCCCGUACACGAAAACAACCUUGAUGUGAAAUCGAGUAGGGCGGGACACGUGACAUCCUGUCUGAAUAUGGGGGGACCAUCCUCCAAGGCUAAAUACUCCUGACUGACCGAUAGUGAACCAGUACCGUGAGGGAAAGGCGAAAAGAACCCCUGUGAGGGGAGUGAAAUAGAACCUGAAACCGUGUACGUACAAGCAGUGGGAGCCCUUCGGGGUGACUGCGUACCUUUUGUAUAAUGGGUCAGCGACUUACAUUUUGUAGCGAGGUUAACCGUAUAGGGGAGCCGUAGGGAAACCGAGUCUUAACUGGGCGUCUAGUUGCAAGGUGUAGACCCGAAACCGGGUGAUCUAGCCAUGGGCAGGUUGAAGGUUGAGUAACAUCAACUGGAGGACCGAACCCACUAACGUUGCAAAGUUAGGGGAUGACCUGUGGCUGGGGGUGAAAGGCCAAUCAAACUCGGAGAUAGCUGGUUCUCCCCGAAAGCUAUUUAGGUAGCGCCUCGGACGAAUACUACUGGGGGUAGAGCACUGUUUGGGCUAGGGGGUCAUCCCGACUUACCAACCCCAUGCAAACUCCGAAUACCAGUAAGUAAUAUCCGGGAGACACACGGCGGGUGCUAACGUCCGUCGUGAAGAGGGAAACAACCCAGACCGCCGGCUAAGGUCCCAAAGUUCUGGUUAAGUGGGAAACGAUGUGGGAAGGCUCAGACAGCUAGGAUGUUGGCUUAGAAGCAGCCAUCAUUUAAAGAAAGCGUAAUAGCUCACUAGUCGAGUCGGCCUGCGCGGAAGAUGUAACGGGGCUCAAACCAGGCACCGAAGCCGCGGAUUCACACUUAUGUGUGAGUGGUAGGGGAGCGUUCUGUAAGUCUGCGAAGGUGUAUCGAGAGGUAUGCUGGAGAUAUCAGAAGUGCGAAUGCUGACGUAAGUAACGAUAAAGGGGGUGAAAAGCCUCCUCGCCGGAAGACCAAGGGUUCCUGUCCAACGUUAAUCGGGGCAGGGUGAGUCGACCCCUAAGGCGAGGCCGAAAGGCGUAGUCGAUGGGAAGCAGGUUAAUAUUCCUGCACGACUUGUAAUUGCGAUGGGGGGACGGAGAAGGCUAGGUGGGCCAGGCGACGGUUGUCCUGGUGAAAGUGCGUAGGUGGUGUUUCUAGGCAAAUCCGGAGACACAACACUGAGACACGAGACGAACACACUACGGUGUGGAAGCCAUUGAUGCCCUGCUUCCAGGAAAAGCCUCUAAGCUUCAGAUUACAAGUCAUCGUACCCCAAACCGACACAGGUGGUCGGGUAGAGAAUACCAAGGCGCUUGAGAGAACUCGGGUGAAGGAACUAGGCAAAAUAGAACCGUAACUUCGGGAGAAGGUUCGCUCUUGACAGUGAAGUCCCUUGCGGAUGGAGCAGUUGGGAGUCGCAGUGACCAGAUGGCUGGGACUGUUUAUCAAAAACACAGCACUCUGCAAACACGAAAGUGGACGUAUAGGGUGUGACACCUGCCCGGUGCCGGAAGGUUAAUUGAUGGGGUUAGCGCAAGCGAAGCUCUUGAUCGAAGCCCCGGUAAACGGCGGCCGUAACUAUAACGGUCCUAAGGUAGCGAAAUUCCUUGUCGGGUAAGUUCCGACCUGCACGAAUGGUGUAACCAUGGCCAUGCUGUCUCCACCCGAGACUCAGUGAAAUCGAAUUCGCCGUGAAGAUGCGGUGUACCCGCGGCUAGACGGAAAGACCCCGUGAACCUUUACUACAGCUUGGCACUGAACAUUGAACCUACAUGUGUAGGAUAGGUGGGAGGCUUUGAAGGCGUGACGCCAGUUGCGCUGGAGCCGUCCUUGAAAUACCACCCUUGUAUGUUUGAUGUUCUAACGCAGGGCCCUGAAUCGGGCUCGCGGACAGUGCCUGGUGGGUAGUUUGACUGGGGCGGUCUCCUCCCAAAGAGUAACGGAGGAGCACGAAGGUUGGCUAAUCCUGGUCGGACAUCAGGAGGUUAGUGCAAUGGCAUAAGCCAGCUUAACUGCGAGACGGACAGGUCGAGCAGGUACGAAAGUAGGUCAUAGUGAUCCGGUGGUUCUGAAUGGAAGGGCCAUCGCUCAACGGAUAAAAGGUACUCCGGGGAUAACAGGCUGAUACCGCCCAAGAGUUCAUAUCGACGGCGGUGUUUGGCACCUCGAUGUCGGCUCAUCACAUCCUGGGGCUGAAGUCGGUCCCAAGGGUAUGGCUGUUCGCCAUUUAAAGUGGUACGCGAGCUGGGUUCAGAACGUCGUGAGACAGUUCGGUCCCUAUCUGCCGUGGGCGUUGGAUGAUUGAAGGGAGUUGCUCCUAGUACGAGAGGACCGGAGUGAACGAACCUCUGGUGUUCGGGUUGUCACGCCAGUGGCACUGCCCGGUAGCUAAGUUCGGAAUCGAUAACCGCUGAAAGCAUCUAAGCGGGAAGCGAGCCCUGAGAUGAGUCAUCCCUGACCCCUUGAGGGUCCUAAAGGGCCGUUGGAGACCACAACGUUGAUAGGCGGGGUGUGUAAGUGCAGCGAUGCAUUGAGCUAACCCGUACUAAUUACCCGUGAGGCUUAACCAUACAACACCCAAGAAGUGUU
This 2916-nucleotide ribosomal RNA is filed under the name Aeromonas veronii. RNAcentral's name for it is "bacterial LSU rRNA". It matches the Rfam family "Bacterial large subunit ribosomal RNA". Lineage: Bacteria; Pseudomonadati; Pseudomonadota; Gammaproteobacteria; Aeromonadales; Aeromonadaceae. The record is from RNAcentral.